RNAcentral lists this ribosomal RNA (247 nucleotides) under uncultured bacterium. RNAcentral describes it as "partial 16S ribosomal RNA". It matches the Rfam family "Bacterial small subunit ribosomal RNA", at positions 524 to 776 of the family's 1533-position model. The record is from RNAcentral.
UACAGAGGUGCGAGCGUUGUCCGGAAUCACUGGGCGUAAAGGCGCGUAGGCGGCUUGAUAAGCGUGCGGUGAAAGCCCGGGCUCAACCCGGGUCGGCCGUGCGAACUGUCGAGCUGGAGCACUGUAGAGGCAGGUGGAAUUCCGGUGUAGCGGUGGAAUGCGUAGAGAUCCGGAAGAACACCGGUGGCGAAGGCGGCCUGCUGGCGAGUGGCUGACGCUGAGGCGCGACAGCGUGGGAGCAAACAGG